Molecule: long non-coding RNA, 491 nt
Filed under: Homo sapiens (human)
Lineage: Eukaryota; Metazoa; Chordata; Mammalia; Primates; Hominidae
Description: HSALNT0385437
Source: RNAcentral
AAUGUUAUGACUCUAUUUAGUACCACUGAACUGUACACUUAAAAUGGUUAACAGAGUACAUUUUAUGUUAUGUGUAUUUUACCACAAUAAAAAAAUAAAAUACCUUAGGAACAUUUUCCUGAAAGAGUCCACAUAAAAUUCAUUUUAAUGCAUGUGUUUAUGCAUAGCUUUCUAUUUUUCUCUUUUCUAUUUAUAUUCCAAAUUAGAAUAUAAUGCUAAUCAAGCAUAGUGGCUGUGUUUCUUGCUUCCUCUAGUCUGCAGGUAGCAUACAAAUGUAAUAAACUACUCAUUAAUGUCACAUCUAUUUAUUUUCUGCCUUAUACCAAGCUUGUGGGAUUCUCUUAAAUACAACAUUUUAAUACUUACACCUAUGCAAUACCCAUUAGCAUCGCCUUCCUAAAUCAGGGGAAAUUGAGUCUCUGUAAGCUGCAGUAACUUACUAAGAUACAAAACUCAGCAUUAAAGUCUGUAUACUUCAAAAUGUUUCCCCC